This 301-nucleotide ribosomal RNA is filed under the name uncultured bacterium. RNAcentral describes it as "partial 16S ribosomal RNA". It matches the Rfam family "Bacterial small subunit ribosomal RNA", at positions 509 to 807 of the family's 1533-position model. The record is from RNAcentral.
CAGCCGCCACGGGAACACGUAGGGUGCAAGCGUUAAUCGGAAUUACUGGGCGUAAAGCGUGCGCAGGCGGUUAGAUAAGCCAGAUGUGAAAUCCCCGAGCUCAACUUGGGAACUGCGUUUGGAACUGUUUAACUAGAGUGCGUCAGAGGGGGGUGGAAUUCCGCGUGUAGCAGUGAAAUGCGUAGAGAUGCGGAGGAACACCGAUGGCGAAGGCAGCCCCCUGGGAUGACACUGACGCUCAUGCACGAAAGCGUGGGGAGCAAACAGGAUUAGAGACCCCUGUAGUCCCUGUCUCUUAUAC